UACAGAGGGGGCAAGCGUUGUUCGGAAUUACUGGGCGUAAAGGGCGCGUAGGCGGCCUGCUAAGUCGAACGUGAAAUCCCUGGGCUUAACCCAGGAACUGCGUCCGAUACUGGCAGGCUUGAAUCCGGGAGAGGGAUGCGGAAUUCCAGGUGUAGCGGUGAAAUGCGUAGAUAUCUGGAGGAACACCGGUGGCGAAGGCGGCAUCCUGGACCGGCAUUGACGCUGAGGCGCGAAAGCGUGGGGAGCGAACAGG
RNAcentral lists this ribosomal RNA (253 nucleotides) under uncultured bacterium. RNAcentral describes it as "partial 16S ribosomal RNA". It matches the Rfam family "Bacterial small subunit ribosomal RNA", at positions 524 to 776 of the family's 1533-position model. The record is from RNAcentral.